UGGGCCGUAGCUCAAUCGGCAGAGCGGCCGGCUUUGAACCGGCAGGUUGUGGGUUCAAUCCCUACCGGCCCAG
Molecule: transfer RNA, 73 nt
Filed under: Algisphaera agarilytica
Lineage: Bacteria; Pseudomonadati; Planctomycetota; Phycisphaerae; Phycisphaerales; Phycisphaeraceae
Rfam family: tRNA
About the family: Transfer RNA (tRNA) molecules are approximately 80 nucleotides in length. Their secondary structure includes four short double-helical elements and three loops (D, anti-codon, and T loops). Further hydrogen bonds mediate the characteristic L-shaped molecular structure. tRNAs have two regions of fundamental functional importance: the anti-codon, which is responsible for specific mRNA codon recognition, and the 3' end, to which the tRNAs corresponding amino acid is attached (by aminoacyl-tRNA synthetases). tRNAs cope with the degeneracy of the genetic code in two manners: having more than one tRNA (with a specific anti-codon) for a particular amino acid; and 'wobble' base-pairing, i.e. permitting non-standard base-pairing at the 3rd anti-codon position.
Source: Rfam by way of RNAcentral